This 440-nucleotide ribosomal RNA is filed under the name uncultured bacterium. Its description in RNAcentral is "bacterial SSU rRNA". It matches the Rfam family "Bacterial small subunit ribosomal RNA", at positions 338 to 771 of the family's 1533-position model. The record is from RNAcentral.
CCUACGGGAGGCAGCAGUCGGGAAUCUUGCGCAAUGGGCGAAAGCCUGACGCAGCAACGCCGUGUGGGUGAGGAAGGCCCUAGGGUCGUAAAGCCCUGUUGUUGGGGACGAAGGGCGAAGGGUUAAUAGCCCCUAGCUUGACGGUACCCUUCGAGGAAGCCCCGGCUAACUACGUGCCAGCAGCCGCGGUAAUACGUAGGGGGCGAGCGUUGUCCGGAAUUAUUGGGCGUAAAGAGCGUGUAGGCGGUUUGGUAAGUCUGCCGUGAAAACCCAGGGCUCAACCCUGGGCGUGCGGUGGAAACUGCCAGGCUAGAGGAUGGUAGAGGCGAGUGGAAUUCCGAGUGUAGCGGUGAAAUGCGCAGAUAUUCGGAGGAACACCAGUAGCGAAGGCGGCUCGCUGGGCCAUUCCUGACGCUGAGACGCGAAAGCAUGGGGAGCGA